GAUGAAGAACGCAGCGAAAUGCGAUAAGUAAUGUGAAUUGCAGAAUUCAGUGAAUCAUCGAAUCUUUGAACGCACAUUGCGCCCGCCAGUAUUCUGGCGGGCAUGCCUGUUCGAGCGUCAUUUCAACCAUCAAGCCCCCGGCUUGUGUUGGGGACCUGCGGCUGCCGCAGGCCCUGAAAAGCAGUGGCGGGCUCGCUGUCACACCGAGCGUAGUAGCAUACAUCUCGCUCUGGGCGUGCUGCGGGUUCCGGCCGUUAAACCACCUUCAUAACCCAAGGUUGACCUCGGAUCAGGUAGGAAGACCCGCUGAACUUAAGCAUAUCAUAAGCGGAGGA
Molecule: unclassified non-coding RNA, 335 nt
Filed under: soil metagenome
Description: partial contains 5.8S ribosomal RNA, internal transcribed spacer 2, and large subunit ribosomal RNA
Rfam family: 5.8S ribosomal RNA (bases 1-120)
Source: RNAcentral